RNAcentral lists this ribosomal RNA (440 nucleotides) under uncultured bacterium. RNAcentral describes it as "partial 16S ribosomal RNA". It matches the Rfam family "Bacterial small subunit ribosomal RNA", at positions 338 to 795 of the family's 1533-position model. The record is from RNAcentral.
CCUACGGGAGGCAGCAGUGGGGAAUAUUGCACAAUGGGGGAAACCCUGAUGCAGCGACGCCGCGUGAGUGAAGAAGUAUUUCGGUAUGUGAAGCUCUAUCAGCAGGGAAGAAAAUGACGGUACCUGAUUAAGAAGCCCCGGCUAACUACGUGCCAGCAGCCGCGGUAAUACGUAGGGGGCAAGCGUUAUCCGGAUUUACUGGGUGUAAAGGGAGCGUAGACGGCAGCACAAGUCUGGAGUGAAAUGCCGGGGCUUAACCCCGGAACUGCUUUGGAAACUGUGCAGCUAGAGUGCAGGAGAGGUAAGUGGAAUUCCUAGUGUAGCGGUGAAAUGCGGAGAUAUUAGGAGGAACACCAGUGGCGAAGGCGGCGUACUGGACUGUAACUGACGUUGAGGCCCGAAAGCGUGGGGAGCAAACAGGAUUAGAUACCCUAGUAGUC